Molecule: ribosomal RNA, 79 nt
Filed under: Muribaculaceae bacterium
Lineage: Bacteria; Pseudomonadati; Bacteroidota; Bacteroidia; Bacteroidales; Muribaculaceae
Source: RNAcentral
CUUCCCAUUCCGAACAGAGAAGUUAAACCUUAUCACGCCGAUGGUACUGCGAAAGCGGAAGAGUAGGUAAUCGCCGCUU